Molecule: long non-coding RNA, 328 nt
Filed under: Prunus persica (peach)
Lineage: Eukaryota; Viridiplantae; Streptophyta; Magnoliopsida; Rosales; Rosaceae
Description: long non-coding RNA (PPER_LNC004073)
Source: RNAcentral
UGAGUUGUUCGGGAAACUUCACUUCUUGGGCAGCAGCUCACCUAAAUAGUCUUUCAGUUUAAGAGAUGUAGUGUAAUGGUGAAAGAAGACUAUUAUUAUCAGUACACACUUUCGAUGAGAGACAGAAGAUGAUAAAAGCAUCACAAGCCAAAGGAAGAUAACUCAUAUACACAACUCUGUUAUGGGUGAAACACAGCGGCAGAGUCCUUCAGAAAAUUUUAAAAAAUAAUUUGAAUAGAAGCGCAAAUCGAUUAAUAAGUUAAUAAGUUAUAUAUUUUCAUUAUAAAGAGCGAACAUAAACAAGUACAAAGCCACUAUGAUGUAAAAG